GGAUGAACGCUGGCGGCGUGCCUAAUACAUGCAAGUCGAGCGAACGGACGAGAAGCUUGCUUCUCUGAUGUUAGCGGCGGACGGGUGAGUAACACGUGGAUAACCUACCUAUAAGACUGGGAUAACUUCGGGAAACCGGAGCUAAUACCGGAUAAUAUUUUGAACCGCAUGGUUCAAAAGUGAAAGACGGUCUUGCUGUCACUUAUAGAUGGAUCCGCGCUGCAUUAGCUAGUUGGUAAGGUAACGGCUUACCAAGGCAACGAUGCAUAGCCGACCUGAGAGGGUGAUCGGCCACACUGGAACUGAGACACGGUCCAGACUCCUACGGGA
RNAcentral lists this ribosomal RNA (330 nucleotides) under Staphylococcus aureus subsp. aureus IS-3. Its description in RNAcentral is "bacterial SSU rRNA". It matches the Rfam family "Bacterial small subunit ribosomal RNA", at positions 27 to 346 of the family's 1533-position model. Lineage: Bacteria; Bacillati; Bacillota; Bacilli; Caryophanales; Staphylococcaceae. The record is from RNAcentral.